RNAcentral lists this ribosomal RNA (423 nucleotides) under uncultured bacterium. RNAcentral describes it as "bacterial SSU rRNA". It matches the Rfam family "Bacterial small subunit ribosomal RNA", at positions 355 to 775 of the family's 1533-position model. The record is from RNAcentral.
UGGGGAAUUUUGGACAAUGGGGGCAACCCUGAUCCAGCGACGCCGCGUGAAGGAUGAAGGUCUUCGGAUUGUAAACUUCUUUUGAAGGGGAUGAAUGGCCCGGUGAAGAGCCGGGAGUGACAGUACCCUUUGAAUAAGCCACGGCUAACUACGUGCCAGCAGCCGCGGUAAUACGUAGGUGGCAAGCGUUACUCGGAAUCACUAGGCGUAAAGCGCAGGUAGGCGGUUGGGUAAGUCUAUUGUGAAAGCUCCCGGCUUAACUGGGAGAGGUCAAUGGAAACUACUCGGCUAGAGUGUGGUAGAGGUAGCUGGAAUUCCCGGUGUAGCGGUGAAAUGCGUAGAUAUCGGGAGGAAUACCUAUGGCGAAAGCAGGCUACUGGACCAUCACUGACGCUGAUCUGCGAAAGCUAGGGGAGCAAACAG